This 401-nucleotide ribosomal RNA is filed under the name uncultured bacterium. RNAcentral's name for it is "bacterial SSU rRNA". It matches the Rfam family "Bacterial small subunit ribosomal RNA", at positions 29 to 429 of the family's 1533-position model. The record is from RNAcentral.
AUUGAACGCUGGCGGAAUGCUUUACACAUGCAAGUCGAACGGCAGCACGGGAGCUUGCUCCUGGUGGCGAGUGGCGAACGGGUGAGUAACAUAUCGGAACGUACCCAGUCGUGGGGGAUAACUCUCCGAAAGGAGAGCUAAUACCGCAUACGUCCUGAGGGAGAAAGCGGGGGACCUGCAAGGGCCUCGCGCGAUUGGAGCGGCCGAUAUCGGAUUAGCUAGUUGGUGAGGUAAAGGCUCACCAAGGCGACGAUCCGUAGCGGGUCUGAGAGGACGACCCGCCACACUGGAACUGAGACACGGUCCAGACUCCUACGGGAGGCAGCAGUGGGGAAUUUUGGACAAUGGGGGCAACCCUGAUCCAGCCAUUCCGCGUGAGUGAAGAAGGCCUCGGUUGUAAG